GCCAGCAUGGUGUACUGGCUUGAGCAUGGAUUACAAUUCUGUAGAUCAGGGUUCAAUUCCCUGUUUGGCC
Molecule: non-coding RNA, 70 nt
Organism: Phrynosoma platyrhinos (Desert horned lizard)
Lineage: Eukaryota; Metazoa; Chordata; Lepidosauria; Squamata; Phrynosomatidae
Source: the annotation of a GenBank genome assembly